UAACGAAUAUUCCGCAAUGGACGAAAGUCUGACGGAGCAAUGCCGCGUGCAGGAUGAAGCGGUUUCGCCGUGUAAACUGCUGUCAGGGGCAGGAAAAACUGAUCCGCCCCAAAGGAAGAGACGGCUAACCCUGUGCCAGCAGCCGCGGUAAUACGAAGGGGGCUAGCGUUGUUCGGAAUUACUGGGCGUAAAGCGCACGUAGGCGGACUCUUAAGUCAGGGGUGAAAUCCCGGGGCUCAACCUCGGAACUGCCCCUUGAUACUGUGAGUCUAGAGACCGGAAGAGGUGAGUGGAAUUCCGAGUGUAGAGGUGAAAUUCGUAGAUAUUCGGAAGAACACCAGUGGCGAAGGCGGCUCACUGGACGUGUAUUGACGCUGAGGUACGAAAGCGUGGGGAGCAAACAGGAUUAGAUACCCUGGUAGUCCCUGAGCGGGCUGGCAAGGCGCAU
RNAcentral lists this ribosomal RNA (448 nucleotides) under uncultured bacterium. RNAcentral's name for it is "bacterial SSU rRNA". It matches the Rfam family "Bacterial small subunit ribosomal RNA", at positions 355 to 825 of the family's 1533-position model. The record is from RNAcentral.